UAUUUUUUUAUUUUUUUUAUUUUUUUUUUUAAGAAUUGGAAGAAAAAAUUACUUUAUCAAUAACCAGGCUGCACCAGGAUUGACCAAGAUGUUUGUUCCUGGCGCUUGUCAUUCUCAGCAAGCACAACACAGAGAGCAAAUAUAAAAGGCUCAAAGUGCAUUGCAUCUUUUAUGGGAGAAAACUGGACAAGAACUUAAAAAUACCUUUAAAUUUUGAAAGACAUAAUCAACGAAGAUGAUUGUGGCAUCGUAUUUACUACUGUAAGUAAAAUUUUUAUUAAUAUUUUGGUUUAAGAACUGACAGAAAAAAAAAGAUCAGGUUUAUUUUAGAA
RNAcentral lists this long non-coding RNA (332 nucleotides) under Rhinopithecus bieti (black snub-nosed monkey). RNAcentral describes it as "lncRNA (ENSRBIG00000046142.1)". Lineage: Eukaryota; Metazoa; Chordata; Mammalia; Primates; Cercopithecidae. The record is from RNAcentral.